Molecule: ribosomal RNA, 254 nt
Filed under: uncultured bacterium
Lineage: Bacteria
Description: partial 16S ribosomal RNA
Rfam family: Bacterial small subunit ribosomal RNA
Source: RNAcentral
CACGUAGGGGGCAAGCGUUGUCCGGAUUUAUUGGGCGUAAAGAGCUCGUAGGCGGCUCGGUAAGUCAACUGUGAAAGCUCCGGGCUCAACUCGGAGAGGCCAGUUGAUACUGCCGUGGCUAGAGUCCGGUAGGGGAGCGUGGAAUUCCUGGUGUAGCGGUGAAAUGCGCAGAUAUCAGGAGGAACACCAGCGGCGAAGGCGGCGCUCUGGGCCGGAACUGACGCUGAGGAGCGAAAGCGUGGGUAGCAAACAGG